RNAcentral lists this ribosomal RNA (441 nucleotides) under uncultured bacterium. RNAcentral describes it as "SSU rRNA". It matches the Rfam family "Bacterial small subunit ribosomal RNA", at positions 26 to 518 of the family's 1533-position model. The record is from RNAcentral.
AGAACGAACGCUGGCGGCAGGCUUAACACAUGCAAGUCGAACGCCCCGCAAGGGGAGUGGCAGACGGGUGAGUAACACGUGGGAACGUCCCCCUCGGUUCGGAAUAACUCAGGGAAACUUGGGCUAAUACCGGAUACGUCCGAGAGGAGAAAGAUUUAUCGCCGAGGGAUCGGCCCGCGUCUGAUUAGCUAGUUGGUAGGGUAACGGCCUACCAAGGCGACGAUCAGUAGCUGGUCUGAGAGGAUGACCAGCCACACUGGGACUGAGACACGGCCCAGACUCCUACGGGAGGCAGCAGUGGGGAAUCUUGGACAAUGGGCGCAAGCCUGAUCCAGCCAUGCCGCGUGAGUGAUGAAGGCCUUAGGGUUGUAAGCUCUUUCGACGGGGACGAUAAUGACGGUACCGUAGAAGAAGCCCGGCUAACUUCGCGCCAGCAGCCGC